UGGUACAGCAACUGAAUCCACAGUGCCAU
Molecule: non-coding RNA, 29 nt
Filed under: Macaca fascicularis (crab-eating macaque)
Lineage: Eukaryota; Metazoa; Chordata; Mammalia; Primates; Cercopithecidae
Also listed under: 1 other name
Source: RNAcentral